CGAUCCAGAACAGCUAGCGAGAGUUGAUUUUCUCAAGGCGGAGUUAGCGAAGCUACAGGCUGAAUGCAAUGAGGAGCAGGCUGAAAUUGACUCUAAGCGCAGACGGCGAGAUCAGCACAUCGCCAUAGAGAUAGAGCAUCGAAACGAAGGGCGACGGCUAAGACGAGAUGAUAUCGAGUGGGGAUAAAAGAAACCCCCGGCUGAGCCUGAGGCCGGGGGAAUGGCUCUAAACGCCUUCCAAGUAGAGCGCGUAGAGAGUCAUGAUCUGUUGUUGAGAUAAGAAAAACCCGCUCAGGACACAAAGAGCGGGGCAAAAAAGAGUUAUAGGUGAUUCUACAUGAUCGCACACGAAAGCAACGGCACGGCGACAGAGGAAUACAACGUUAUCAGCAUCUACGAUGACGGUGCUAUAUACGCAACCCAGGAAGAAUACGCUAGUGAAAUUCGCAAGUACCGAACUGAGAUACCCAACAUCGUAUUUGAGAAGGGUCUCACUGGAGAUCAGAUUGCCCUGUACG
RNAcentral lists this unclassified non-coding RNA (518 nucleotides) under plant metagenome. RNAcentral's name for it is "partial contains 5.8S ribosomal RNA, internal transcribed spacer 2, and large subunit ribosomal RNA". The record is from RNAcentral.